CAUGUCCUUUUGAUUAUGAUUUAAGGUCUAAUCUGCUCAAUGAAAGUUUAAAUUGCCGCAGUAUUUUGACUGUGCAAAGGUAGCAUAAUAAUUAGUUUCUUAAUUAGAAGCUGGAAUGAAUGAUUGGACGAGAAAAUUUCUGUCUCUAUUUAAUUGUUUAUUGAAUUUUAUUUUUAAGUUAAAAAGCUUAAAUGUUUGUAAAAGACGAGAAGACCCUAUAGAGUUUGAUAUUUCAAUUUUAUUUGAUUAUAGAAUUUCUUUUGAGUUUGGAAUAUUUAAUUGGGGUGAUUUAAAGAUUUAAAUAAUUCUUUAAUUUUUUAAUUGAUGAUAGUUAAAUUUUAAACCUAUAGUUUUAAGUUUAAUAUAAAUUACCUUAGGGAUAACAGCGUAAUUUUUCUUUAAAGCUCUUAUUAAAAGAAGAUUUUGCGACCUCGAUGUUGGAUUAAAAUUAAUUUUUGGUGCAGUAACUUAAAAAUUGGGUCUGUUCGACCUUUAAAAUUUUACAUGAUCUGAGUUUAAACCGGUGUAAGCCAGGUUGGAUUCUAUCUUUAAAAAUUUUUUAUAUUUUAGUACGAAAGGACCAAAUAUAGAUUAAAUUA
This 599-nucleotide ribosomal RNA is filed under the name Lycostomus sp. UPOL LF0303. RNAcentral's name for it is "partial 16S large subunit ribosomal RNA". It matches the Rfam family "Bacterial large subunit ribosomal RNA", at positions 1827 to 2710 of the family's 2925-position model. The record is from RNAcentral. Lineage: Eukaryota; Metazoa; Arthropoda; Insecta; Coleoptera; Lycidae.